UACGUAGGGGGCUAGCGUUAUCCGGAAUUACUGGGCGUAAAGGGUGCGUAGGUGGUUUCUUAAGUCAGAGGUGAAAGGCUACGGCUCAACCGUAGUAAGCCUUUGAAACUGGGAAACUUGAGUGCAGGAGAGGAGAGUGGAAUUCCUAGUGUAGCGGUGAAAUGCGUAGAUAUUAGGAGGAACACCAGUAGCGAAGGCGGCUCUCUGGUCUGUAACUGACACUGAGGCGCGAAAGCGUGGGGAGCAAACAGGAUUAGAUACCCCCGUAGUCCCUGAGCGGGCU
Molecule: ribosomal RNA, 283 nt
Filed under: uncultured prokaryote
Description: partial 16S ribosomal RNA
Rfam family: Bacterial small subunit ribosomal RNA
Source: RNAcentral